Molecule: ribosomal RNA, 467 nt
Filed under: uncultured bacterium
Lineage: Bacteria
Description: partial 16S ribosomal RNA
Rfam family: Bacterial small subunit ribosomal RNA
Source: RNAcentral
GACGAACGCUGGCGGCGUGCUUAACACAUGCAAGUCGAACGGAAAGGCCCUGCUUUUGUGGGGUGCUCGAGUGGCGAACGGGUGAGUAACACGUGAGUAACCUGCCCUUGACUUUGGGAUAACUUCAGGAAACUGGGGCUAAUACCGGAUAGGAGCUCCUGCUGCAUGGUGGGGGUUGGAAAGUUUCGGCGGUUGGGGAUGGACUCGCGGCUUAUCAGCUUGUUGGUGGGGUAGUGGCUUACCAAGGCUUUGACGGGUAGCCGGCCUGAGAGGGUGACCGGCCACAUUGGGCCUGAGAUACGGCCCAGACUCCUCCGGGAGGCAGCAGUGGGGAAUAUUGCACAAUGGGCGGAAGCCUGAUGCAGCAACGCCGAGUGCGGGAUGACGGCCUUCGGGUUGUAAACCGCUUUCGCCUGUGACGAAGCGUGAGUGACGGUAAUGGGUAAAGAAGCACCGGCUACCUCCGU